UACGUAGGGUGCGAGCGUUAAUCGGAAUUACUGGGCGUAAAGCGUGCGCAGGCGGUUCGCUGUGUCCCAUGUGAAAGCCCCGGGCUUAACCUGGGAAUGGCAUUGGAAACUGGCGGGCUGGAGUGUGGCAGAGGGGGGUGGAAUUCCGCGUGUAGCAGUGAAAUGCGUAGAGAUGCGGAGGAACACCGAUGGCGAAGGCAGCCCCCUGGGCUAACACUGACGCUCAGGCACGAAAGCGUGGGGAGCAAACAGG
Molecule: ribosomal RNA, 253 nt
Filed under: uncultured bacterium
Lineage: Bacteria
Description: partial 16S ribosomal RNA
Rfam family: Bacterial small subunit ribosomal RNA
Source: RNAcentral